UACGUAGGGUGCGAGCGUUAAUCGGAAUUACUGGGCGUAAAGCGUGCGCAGGCGGUUAUGCAAGACAGGUGUGAAAUCCCCGGGCUCGACCUGGGAACUGCACUUGUGACUGCAUGACUAGAGUGCGUCAGAGGGAGGUGGAAUUCCGCGUGUAGCAGUGAAAUGCGUAGAGAUGCGGAGGAACACCGAUGGCGAAGGCAGCCUCCUGGGAUGACACUGACGCUCAUGCACGAAAGCGUGGGGAGCAAACAGG
This 253-nucleotide ribosomal RNA is filed under the name uncultured bacterium. RNAcentral's name for it is "partial 16S ribosomal RNA". It matches the Rfam family "Bacterial small subunit ribosomal RNA", at positions 524 to 776 of the family's 1533-position model. The record is from RNAcentral.